Hypanus sabinus (Atlantic stingray) is the source of this 589-nucleotide long non-coding RNA. RefSeq lists it as uncharacterized. The record is from RefSeq and is a predicted model, not a curated record. NCBI's taxonomy places the organism in Eukaryota, Metazoa, Chordata, Chondrichthyes, Myliobatiformes, Dasyatidae. The transcript is spliced from 2 exons.
UUAACUUGCCAACUUGCUCUUUGCACUUUGCACAACCAACAUUGUUCUUUCUGGAUCAUCCCUUGCUUGGAUCUACUCAAACCCCAUCUCAGUAGCAUGCAGGAUAAAUUGAGGGCUCUUCAAACAAGGAGGUUCGAUGUUCCACUCCUGUACAAGGAGUCCUGGUGAGGAACUACAGAGAUGAUCAAAUGUGGGUACUUGGAAAGACUAAGGAGAGAAGUGGGCCACUCUCCUACACAGUGAAGAUUGCAUAUGAUGUUAUCUGGAGAAGUCACAUCAAUCAGUUGAGGAGAGCAGUCAAUUGUUGGAGAAGAAAGGUGUCCAGAGUUGUCAGAACUACUUCCUACAGUCCCAGAGUCAAAUCCUACAACCACCAUGGAGGACACUCCAGAACUUGAGAUAGUUUCACUGCCACAAGUAUAUAUAAAGUAACUGUGAAUUGUGUAACUGCUGUUAAAAGAGCGCUCUUCCUGUUACCCACAAAGAAAAAUAGGAUGCAGGAACAACAGAUGACCAGAGCCUACCAUUCAGCCCAAACAUCCUCUGAUAAAAGAAAUAGCAAAUAAAAAUCAGUGCUGGUAUUAAUGAA